Non-coding RNA from Pelobates cultripes (western spadefoot toad), 327 nucleotides. NCBI's taxonomy places the organism in Eukaryota, Metazoa, Chordata, Amphibia, Anura, Pelobatidae. The record is from the annotation of a GenBank genome assembly.
CAUACUUGUACAUUUUUAUUGGACUUCGCUUUCAUAUUUUCCUCCAAUUUGAAAUCUUAAUGUACAUUCAGAACUGUAUGAAUCUGCACUGUUCUGAAUAAAUUGUCAAUGUCACUGUGUUGCCUACCUUAUUGCAGGUAAAUGUAUCUGAAUUCACUCACGCCACCUAGUGUAAUGGGCCAUAAUUGUACAGGCAUCCCCCCACUCCCCAUUCAAAAUACUUAAAAGCCUGGUCAACUUUUGACAUUGUUCUCUAUAUUGCCAGAGGACUCAAAAACAAUUUAUUUUCCAAGCCCUUUCAAAAAGAGAGGUGAAGCAGCAUUACUU